Non-coding RNA from Paramuricea clavata, 598 nucleotides. The record is from the annotation of a GenBank genome assembly. NCBI's taxonomy places the organism in Eukaryota, Metazoa, Cnidaria, Anthozoa, Malacalcyonacea, Plexauridae.
CGCUCUUUGAGUGCCACUCAACUUUUAGCUGCUCGCUAUUGAAGCACCACUUUCCGCCGCUAGGUGAAUGCCAUUUCGAACUUUGGGCUGCUUGCUCAUCAAUUAUCGUCAGAGCGAAAGCUUUAAGAUCACCAAGUGUUCCUGUCCAAAUUAAUUUGUUUUUCUUUCGGCCAAAGAAGCCGAACAAGGUGUUAAUAACUCUAGAAGAAUUCAUUUUAAUCGUAUGCUCUUGUGUGGAGAUGUUCACUCAAGGCCAACCAGGUUAAAUCAAUCGCCCAUUGUUAUUGAGGCGGAUUUUAUUACAUCCCGGGCGUCAUACAGUAGGUGUACGGGACUGAUCAAUGAAUUUUUAUGGAGGAUUGUAAUGAAAUAACCUGAAUUUAACAUAUUUUCUGGUAAAUCUGCUCGAAUUUUCUUGAUUUUUCCUAGCAUUUACCCGAAUUUCCACGGUUUUCCAAAAUUUGUUUGGGGGGCUGCCCCCUGUCUCGUACGCCUAUGCCAGGCGUUCUUUUCAGUGCCCGGUUUAGUAAAUUAUUUAAUAAGUUAUUUAGUGCUAGAAAAAUGGGUUUUUUUCGAUUAUUUUUAGCGAGUUUGCCGG